RNAcentral lists this small nuclear RNA (22 nucleotides) under Arabidopsis thaliana (thale cress). RNAcentral's name for it is "snRNA_14060". The record is from RNAcentral. Lineage: Eukaryota; Viridiplantae; Streptophyta; Magnoliopsida; Brassicales; Brassicaceae.
GAAUCACAAACAAAUAAAGAGA